CCUACGGGCGGCAGCAGUGAGGAAUAUUGGUCAAUGGACGCAAGUCUGAACCAGCCAUGCCGCGUGCAGGAAGACGGCUCUAUGAGUUGUAAACUGCUUUUGUACGAGGGUAAACUCAGAUACGCGUAUCUGUCUGAAAGUAUCGUACGAAUAAGGAUCGGCUAACUCCGUGCCAGCAGCCGCGGUAAUCCGGAGCAUUCAAGCGUUAUCCGGGUUUAUUGGGUUUAAAGGGUGCGUCGGCGGUCGGAUAAGUUAGCGGUGAAAUCCCGAGGCUCAACUUCGGAAUUGCCUCUGAUACUGUUAGGCUAGAGAGUAGUUGCGGUAGGCGGAAUGUAUGGUGUAGCGGUGAAAUGCUUAGAGAUCAUACAGAACACCGAUUGCGAAGGCAGCUUACCAAGCUACUUCUGACGUUGAGGCACGAAAGCGUGGGGAGCAAACAGGAUUAGAUACCCCUGUAGUC
Molecule: ribosomal RNA, 460 nt
Filed under: uncultured bacterium
Lineage: Bacteria
Description: partial 16S ribosomal RNA
Rfam family: Bacterial small subunit ribosomal RNA
Source: RNAcentral